UACGAAGGGGGCGAGCGUUGUUCGGAAUUACUGGGCGUAAAGGGCGCGUAGGCGGCAACUCAAGUUAGAUGUGAAAGUCCUGGGCUUAACCUGGGGACUGCAUUUGAUACUGGGUUGCUUGAAUUCGGGAGAGGAUAGCGGAAUUCCCAGUGUAGAGGUGAAAUUCGUAGAUAUUGGGAAGAACACCGGUGGCGAAGGCGGCUAUCUGGACCGACAUUGACGCUGAGGCGCGAAAGCGUGGGGAGCAAACAGG
Molecule: ribosomal RNA, 253 nt
Filed under: uncultured bacterium
Lineage: Bacteria
Description: partial 16S ribosomal RNA
Rfam family: Bacterial small subunit ribosomal RNA
Source: RNAcentral